CGCUAUCUAUCCUGAGCCUCA
Molecule: microRNA, 21 nt
Filed under: Helianthus annuus (common sunflower)
Lineage: Eukaryota; Viridiplantae; Streptophyta; Magnoliopsida; Asterales; Asteraceae
Source: RNAcentral